UGUAAUUCCGUUUGGUGGAUACUAAUACCAUGAAUAAGUAUCUACUGGCGGGAUUUCACU
This 60-nucleotide microRNA precursor is filed under the name Caenorhabditis remanei. RNAcentral's name for it is "microRNA crm-mir-7609 precursor". Lineage: Eukaryota; Metazoa; Nematoda; Chromadorea; Rhabditida; Rhabditidae. The record is from miRBase by way of RNAcentral.